This 254-nucleotide ribosomal RNA is filed under the name uncultured bacterium. RNAcentral describes it as "partial 16S ribosomal RNA". It matches the Rfam family "Bacterial small subunit ribosomal RNA", at positions 524 to 776 of the family's 1533-position model. The record is from RNAcentral.
UACGUAGGGGGCUAGCGUUGUCCGGAAUCAUUGGGCGUAAAGCGCGCGUAGGCGGCCAGAUAAGUCCGGUGUGAAAGUCAAAGGCUCAACCUUUGAAUGCCGCUGGAAACUGUCUGGCUAGAGUCCGGGAGGGGCGAGUGGAAUUCCUGGUGUAGCGGUGAAAUGCGCAGAUAUCAGGAGGAACACCAAUGGCGAAGGCAGCACUCUGGGACGUGACUGACGGCUGAGACGCGAAAGCGUGGGGAGCAAACAGG